Molecule: ribosomal RNA, 502 nt
Filed under: Mycobacterium simiae
Lineage: Bacteria; Bacillati; Actinomycetota; Actinomycetes; Mycobacteriales; Mycobacteriaceae
Description: bacterial SSU rRNA
Rfam family: Bacterial small subunit ribosomal RNA
Source: RNAcentral
UGGAGAGUUUGAUCCUGGCUCAGCCGAACGCUGGCGGCGUGCUUAACACAUGCAAGUCGAACGGAAAGGCCCCUUCGGGGGUACUCGAGUGGCGAACGGGUUGAGUAACACGUGGGUAAUCUGCCCUGCACUUCGGGAUAAGCCUGGGAAACUGGGUCUAAUACCGGAUAGGACCACUUGGCGCAUGCCUUGUGGUGGAAAGCUUUUGCGGUGUGGGAUGGGCCCGCGGCCUAUCAGCUUGUUGGUGGGGUGACGGCCUACCAAGGCGACGACGGGUAGCCGGCCUGAGAGGGUGUCCGGCCACACUGGGACUGAGAUACGGCCCAGACUCCUACGGGAGGCAGCAGUGGGGAAUAUUGCACAAUGGGCGCAAGCCUGAUGCAGCGACGCCGCGUGGGGGAUGACGGCCUUCGGGUUGUAAACCUCUUUCAGCAGGGACGAAGCGCAAGUGACGGUACCUGCAUAAGAAGCACCGGCCAACUACGUGCCAGCAGCCGCGGUA